Molecule: ribosomal RNA, 482 nt
Filed under: uncultured bacterium
Lineage: Bacteria
Description: partial 16S ribosomal RNA
Rfam family: Bacterial small subunit ribosomal RNA
Source: RNAcentral
GACGAACGCUGGCGGCGUGCUUAACACAUGCAAGUCGAACGCUGAAGCUCAGCUUGCUGGGUGGAUGAGUGGCGAACGGGUGAGUAACACGUUAGUAACCUGCCCUCUUCUUUGGGAUAACGCCCGGAAACGUGUGCUAAUACUGGAUAUUCACUGAUUCUCGCAUGGGGGUUGGUGGAAAGGUUUUUUCUGGUGGGGGAUGGGCUCGCGGCCUAUCAGCUUGUUGGUGGGGUGUUGGCAUACCAAGGCUUUGACGGCUAGCCUGCCUGAGAGGCUGAGCGGUUACAUUGGGACUGAGAUACGGACCAGACUCGUAAGGGAGGCAGCAGUGGGGAGUAUGGCAGAAUGGGGGAAAGCCUGAUGCAGCGACGAAGCGUGAGGGAUGGAGGCCGUCGGGUUGUAAAACUCUUUAGGUCAUGGUAAAGCCGCCGCUUUGGGUUGUGGUGAGGGUAGUGGGUAAAGAAGCGCCGGCUAACUACGUG